UUGGAUAACUGUGGUAAUUCUAKAGCUAAUACAUGCAAACAGAGCUCCGACCGGAGACGGAAGGAGUGCUUUUAUUAGAUCAAAACCAAUCGGUGGCGGGCUCGCCCGUCAUCGUCCAACUUGGUGACUCUGAAUAACUUUACGCUGAUCGCACGGUCAUCGCACCGGCGACGCAUCUUUCAAAUGUCUGCCUUAUCAACUGUCGAUGGUAGGUUCUGCGCCUACCAUGGUUGUAACGGGUAACGGGGAAUCAGGGUUCGAUUCCGGAGAGGGAGCCUGARAAACGGCUACCACAU
Molecule: ribosomal RNA, 296 nt
Filed under: Genuacalles sp. ARC3823
Lineage: Eukaryota; Metazoa; Arthropoda; Insecta; Coleoptera; Curculionidae
Description: partial 18S ribosomal RNA
Rfam family: Eukaryotic small subunit ribosomal RNA
Source: RNAcentral